UUGUGAUCUGUGGGGGAAACCGGAGUACCCGGAGAAAACCCACGCAUGCAUGGGGAGAACAUGCAACUCCACGCAGAAAAGCUACAGCCGAGUUUUGAACCUGCGACCUUCAUGCUGCGAUGCAACAGUGCUAACCCCUGCGCCACCAUGCAGCCCCAGUGAUCUCCAACUGACAAAAGAUCCCCCAGCAUCUCCACUGUCUUGGUGAGGAGCUGCUUCUCUGAGGUCAGAUCCCCUGUGUUUCUCGGGUCAGUUCUCACGCAGGCCUCUAAAGGCACUGGACCCCCCCAGUCUGUUCCACUGGUAGGCCGUAAGGUGUGAGAUAUUCCCAGUGGAAUGUGGCACGUGAGAGCGUUUACAACACGUGAGUAACCUUCCAUCCAUCUUUCAACGUUCAGAAUCCCCUGGCCGAUUGUUUUUGGGUCAAGGAGAAAGCGUCAUAAAAGUUCUACCAAAUUUUUUCUCUCAUUUUCUCCCUCCAUACUGUAUCUUCCUCUUCCUCUCCAAAUUAUAUCUUGUUCUUCCUCAAAGCUCCUCCUCCCUCGCUUUCUCACUCAUCAGACCAUAAUUCACUUCAGUGGGAAGCAUCAUUAAUGCACAGUAGGACUCAGCAGCUUGAUGUGUGCUAAUUAUAUUGUGUGUUUUACACACUGGAUGACUUUUGCUUAGUCAGCGAUGAAACCAGGCUCCGGUAAUUGUUUUUUUGGGUGUGAUGAGUUUAUGAAAUCCUGCAUGAUUAUUUGAGAUUUUAUGUAUAUAUUGUGGGUUUAUUUUCAUGUAUCUGUCAGUGGGU
Molecule: long non-coding RNA, 793 nt
Organism: Nothobranchius furzeri (turquoise killifish)
Lineage: Eukaryota; Metazoa; Chordata; Actinopteri; Cyprinodontiformes; Nothobranchiidae
Source: RefSeq, a predicted model, not a curated record